RNAcentral lists this unclassified non-coding RNA (303 nucleotides) under Hevea brasiliensis (rubber tree). Lineage: Eukaryota; Viridiplantae; Streptophyta; Magnoliopsida; Malpighiales; Euphorbiaceae. The record is from RNAcentral.
UUCAAAUCAAGUAUAGUUCUCCUGGGAGAGAAAAUUAAAAACCAAACAAUCAUAAGAACCAAUUUAUAAUCGUAUUGAUAUAGAGUAUAGACGACAUCAAUGAUCAUAUAUAUUCAUUCCUGUUUGACUCGCUAGUUGGCCACAAGCAUCCCAACAAGAAAAGAAAAUUGUCACAUAUUGAUAAUGAGAAUUCAACAAAAUUGCACAAAAAGAAAAUACAAUUAAUUCCUUACACAUUUAUCUUAAACCCAUCGAACUUUGUCUUUGUGAUGUUGGACAAUGAAUUUGUAAAAUUGUUAUAUG